UAGAGUUUGAUCCUGGCUCAGGAUGAACGCUGGCGGUCUGCUUAACACAUGCAAGUCGAACGCAACCUUCGGGUUGAGUGGCGGACGGGUGAGUAACGCGUGAGAAUCUGCCUUGGGGUCGGGGACAACCACUGGAAACGGUGGCUAAUACCGGAUAAGCCUUUGGGUAAAAAAUUUAUUGCCCCAAGAGGAGCUCGCGUCUGAUUAGCUAGUUGGUGAGGUAAAAGCUCACCAAGGCAGCGAUCAGUAGCUGGUCUGAGAGGACGAUCAGCCACACUGGGACUGAGACACGGCCCAGACUUCUACGGGAGGCAGCAGUGGGGAAUUUUCCGCAAUGGGCGAAAGCCUGACGGAGCAAGACCGCGUGAGGGAGGAAGGCUCUUGGGUUGUAAACCUCUUUUCUCAGGGAAGAAGCUCUGACGGUACCUGAGGAAUCAGCCUCGGCUAACUCCGUGCCAGCAGCCGCGGUAAUACGGAGGAGGCAAGCGUUAUCCGGAAUUAUUGGGCGUAAAGCGUCCGCAGGUGGCGAUUCAAGUCUGCUGUCAAAGCACGGGGCUUAACUCCGUUAAAGGCAGUGGAAACUGAAUAGCUAGAGUGCCGUAGGGGUAGAGGGAAUUCCCGGUGUAGCGGUGAAAUGCGUAGAGAUCGGGAGACAUCGGUGGCGAA
This 666-nucleotide ribosomal RNA is filed under the name uncultured organism. Its description in RNAcentral is "bacterial SSU rRNA". It matches the Rfam family "Bacterial small subunit ribosomal RNA", at positions 1 to 719 of the family's 1533-position model. The record is from RNAcentral.